AACGAACGCUGGCGGCAGGCCUAACACAUGCAAGUCGAACGGGCGUAGCAAUACGUCAGUGGCGGACGGGUGAGUAACACGUGGGAAUAUGCCUUUCGGUUCGGAACAACUCGGGGAAACUCGUGCUAAUUCCGGAUACGCCCUUACGGGGAAAGAUUUAUCGCCGAAAGAUUAGCCCGCGUUGGAUUAGCUAGUUGGUGAGGUAACGGCCCACCAAGGCAACGAUCCAUAGCUGGUUUGAGAGAACGACCAGCCACACUGGGACUGAGACACGGCCCAGACUCCUACGGGGAGGUAGCAGUGGGGAAUCUUGGACAAUGGGGGAAACCCUGAUCCAGCCAUGCCGCGUGAGUGAUGAAGGCC
RNAcentral lists this ribosomal RNA (363 nucleotides) under uncultured bacterium. RNAcentral describes it as "bacterial SSU rRNA". It matches the Rfam family "Bacterial small subunit ribosomal RNA", at positions 29 to 416 of the family's 1533-position model. The record is from RNAcentral.